This 585-nucleotide ribosomal RNA is filed under the name Catellatospora sp. 428B12. RNAcentral's name for it is "bacterial SSU rRNA". It matches the Rfam family "Bacterial small subunit ribosomal RNA", at positions 93 to 693 of the family's 1533-position model. The record is from RNAcentral. Lineage: Bacteria; Bacillati; Actinomycetota; Actinomycetes; Micromonosporales; Micromonosporaceae.
GAGCGGCGAACGGGUGAGUAACACGUGAGUAACCUGCCCUGGACUUUGGGAUAACCCUCGGAAACGGGGGCUAAUACCGGAUACCUCCUUCUGGCCGCAUGGUUGGUUGGGGAAAGUUUUUCGGUCUGGGAUGGGCUCGCGGCCUAUCAGCUUGUUGGUGGGGUGAUGGCCUACCAAGGCGACGACGGGUAGCCGGCCUGAGAGGGCGACCGGCCACACUGGGACUGAGACACGGCCCAGACUCCUACGGGAGGCAGCAGUGGGGAAUAUUGCACAAUGGGCGGAAGCCUGAUGCAGCGACGCCGCGUGAGGGAUGACGGCCUUCGGGUUGUAAACCUCUUUCAGCAGGGACGAAGCGCAAGUGACGGUACCUGCAGAAGAAGCGCCGGCCAACUACGUGCCAGCAGCCGCGGUAAGACGUAGGGCGCGAGCGUUGUCCGGAUUUAUUGGGCGUAAAGAGCUCGUAGGCGGCUUGUCGCGUCGGCUGUGAAAUCCCGUGGCUCAACUGCGGGCUUGCAGCCGAUACGGGCAGGCUAGAGUUCGGUAGGGGAGACUGGANUNCUGGUGACGNAAAAAAANGCCAAA